This 422-nucleotide ribosomal RNA is filed under the name uncultured prokaryote. Its description in RNAcentral is "bacterial SSU rRNA". It matches the Rfam family "Bacterial small subunit ribosomal RNA", at positions 355 to 774 of the family's 1533-position model. The record is from RNAcentral.
UAACGAAUAUUGCGCAAUGGACGAAAGUCUGACGCAGCGACGCCGUGUGUAGGAUGAAGUCCUUCGGGAUGUAAACUACUGUCAGGGUGAAGAAAGGUGAAGGCUGUAAUGCCUGAACUUGAUCGAUCCCAGAGGAAGGCCCGGCUAACUUCGUGCCAGCUGCCGCGGUAAGACGAAGGGGCCAAGCGUUGUUCGGAAUUAUUGGGCUUAAAGCGCAUGCAGGCGGGAAGUUAAGUGUUCUGUGAAAUCCCUCGGCUUAACCGAGGACUAGCGGGGCAAACUGGCGUUCUUGAGGCAAGUAGGGGUGUAUGGAACUCUAGGUGGAGCGGUGAAAUGCGUAGAUAUCGAGAGGAACGCCAGCGGAGAAAUCGGUACACUGGGCUUGUUCUGACGCUGAGGUGCGAAAGCGUGGGUAGCGAACG